RNAcentral lists this ribosomal RNA (468 nucleotides) under uncultured bacterium. RNAcentral describes it as "partial 16S ribosomal RNA". It matches the Rfam family "Bacterial small subunit ribosomal RNA", at positions 28 to 507 of the family's 1533-position model. The record is from RNAcentral.
GACGAACGCUGGCGGCGUGCUUAACACAUGCAAGUCGAACGGAAAGGCCCUGCUUUUGUGGGGUGCUCGAGUGGCGAACGGGUGAGUAACACGUGAGUAACCUGCCCUUGACUUUGGGAUAACUUCAGGAAACUGGGGCUAAUACCGGAUAGGAGCUCCUGCUGCAUGGUGGGGGUUGGAAAGUUUCGGCGGUUGGGGAUGGACUCGCGGCUUAUCAGCUUGUUGGUGGGGUAGUGGCUUACCAAGGCUUUGACGGGUAGCCGGCCUGAGAGGGUGACCGGCCACAUUGGGACUGAAAUACGGCCCAGACUCCUCCGGGAGGCAGCGGUGGGGAAUAUUGCAUAAUGGGCGGAAGCCUGAUGCAGCACAGCCGCGUGCGGGAUGACGGCCUUCGGGUUGUAAACCGCUUUCGCCUGUGACGAAGCGUGAGUGACGGUAAUGGGUAAAGAAGCACCGGCUAACUACGUG